UACGGAGGAUCCAAGCGUUAUCCGGAUUUAUUGGGUUUAAAGGGUGCGUAGGCGGCCUAUUAAGUCAGGGGUGAAAGACGGUGGCUCAACCAUCGCAGUGCCUUUGAUACUGAUAGGCUUGAAUACACUAGAGGUAGGCGGAAUGUGACAAGUAGCGGUGAAAAUGCAUAGAUAUGUCACAGAACACCAAUUGCGAAGGCAGCUUACUAUGGUGUCAUUGACGCUGAGGCACGAAAGCGUGGGGAUCAAACAGG
Molecule: ribosomal RNA, 254 nt
Filed under: uncultured bacterium
Lineage: Bacteria
Description: partial 16S ribosomal RNA
Rfam family: Bacterial small subunit ribosomal RNA
Source: RNAcentral